AGCUUCUUCGUGUGUGUGUGUGUGUGUGUGUGUGUGUGUGUGUGUGUUUCUCUGAGUCCUACUGCUUCACCACACAGGUGCCCACA
Molecule: microRNA precursor, 86 nt
Filed under: Ochotona princeps (American pika)
Lineage: Eukaryota; Metazoa; Chordata; Mammalia; Lagomorpha; Ochotonidae
Description: miRNA (ENSOPRG00000017994.1)
Source: RNAcentral